UACUGAGUGUCAACUCAAUUCAAUUGAAGGAAGCAAAUUAUUGAUCCUGGGUGUGUCUGUGAGGGUGUUGCUGAAGAAGAUUAACAUUUGAGUCAGUGGACUGGGAAAGGCAGACCCACCCUUAAUCUGGAUGGGCACCAUAUAAUCACCUGCCAACACAGCCAGGACAUAAAGUAGGCAGAAAAACAUGAAAGGGCUAGACUUGCCUAACCUCCCAGCCUACAUCUGUCUCAUGUGCUGGAUGCUUCCUGCCUUUGAACAUCAGACUCCAGGUUCUUCAGCCCUGGCACUUGGACUGACUUCCUUGCUCCUCAGCUUGCAGACAGCCUACUGUGGACCUUGUGAUCACGUGAUCAUAAGACAGAUGCAUCUUGAAGAAUGACAGUGGAUUAUCAUAACCAUAACCAAGUGAUGACUCCAGUUGUGGCUGCUGUGCCAGAUAUGGUUUCAUUGCUUGAGCAAAUUAACACAUCUCCUGGCACCUUGUAUGCAGCCAUUGACUUGGAAAAUGCUUUUCUCCAUUCCUGUCCAUAAAGCCCACCGGAAGCAAUUUGCCUUCAGCUGUCAAGGCCAGCAAUGUAUCUUUACUGUGCUACUUAAGGGGUAUAUCAACUCUCCAGCUUUGUGUCAUAAAUCUUAUUUAGAGAAACCUUGAUCACUUUUCACUCCCAAAAGAUAUCACAUUGGUCCAUUUUAUUUAUGACAUU
RNAcentral lists this long non-coding RNA (707 nucleotides) under Homo sapiens (human). RNAcentral describes it as "HSALNT0203035". The record is from RNAcentral. Lineage: Eukaryota; Metazoa; Chordata; Mammalia; Primates; Hominidae.